UAAUAGAAACAAUUCUUGCUUCCUUCCU
This 28-nucleotide non-coding RNA is filed under the name Mus musculus (house mouse). Lineage: Eukaryota; Metazoa; Chordata; Mammalia; Rodentia; Muridae. The record is from RNAcentral.